UUGGUGACAGCUUGUGUCCAGCAUGGUGGCCAGAGAGCUUAGGAAACAUCUUCACCCUGCUGGACGGCUCUUGGUCUGGUUGGCUUCUCCCCUUCCUUUCCCCUCCCUGCAAAGAGGUGCACCAUCAGAUGUCCUCAUCAUCCACUGUGGCGGCAACAGCAUUUAAGGACGUGUGACGGCCCCUGCUUAGUCUACUUCUACCUGAUAUGGAGCGCCUGGGCCCAGUUUGCUACAGGAUAUAAAAGUCCCACAUUCCAUUGUGGCUGGCUGUCUCCCUGACAGCACCUGCACCUUACUGCUUUGCUGAACCAUUGUUUUUAUUUUUACUCCACACCUAAUCCCACAGUAUAUGAACACUACUUAUUUUCCACUGUUACUAUCCAGGUUCCAUUAUCAUAAUUACUGUUACAACUAUUACACAUUUUUAUUUAUUUAAGUGUAUUAACUGUCCAUUAUUUCAAGUCAUACAAAACAACAAUUUUAACCUUUUUACUGGUGUUUUCAUGAAUGCAGGAUAGGAUUUUAUAAUAAUGAGAUGGUAUUUAUAGUAUUGGUAUGUAUGGUAUUUAACAUGUUGAAUCUCUUUUUGCAGAAAGUAAAAAAUGGAAAGCAAGAGACCAGUGUGAAAUCAACUUAGAAGUUUUAUAAAUAGCUUCUCAAUAAAUAGUUUUGAAGCUCCCUAGGAGGUGUCAUUUAUUGUGACCUCUGAGAAGUCUUGUAGAUAUUGCACAGGUAUUGUGAGGCUUUACCCGUUUAGUGAGGCAAAAGGAAAAAAACUAAAUCAGCUGAUAGAAAGCACCUAUUAAUCAGAGGUGCACAUCAGCUGAUUGUUUGUCUUUGCCUCCCUGUUAAACCUUCAUGAUAGUGUAUUUGCCUGAGAAGACCUCAGAGUUUGAAACAUUGCAAUAAAUGAUACUGCCUAGUGGGAUUCAUAAUUACUUAGAGUGCAGGUCAUUCUUAUUUUUUCACUCUAAUCCCUUUUAUUCAGCACUAUGUGAGCAUAGUUUGUUGGAUGUGCAAGUUUUUGUGUUUGAACUACACAGUACAGUAUAUCAGAAUGUGAAAUCUAGCUAAUUUGACAUCUUUCUGUUGGAGGGUCGUCACUCUCCAUUGUCCCCGCCACAUCUGCCGAAGCUUACCUAAUGUCAUGUUCAAACAGUCAUGGGAGGUCUUGGGGGGGAUCUGGGUUUUAAUUUCAUUUUUUGAAAAUGCGAUGGCUGUUCAAGCAGUUGCUCAGAUCACGGCUGCCUUGUCGAGAAGAAACGGAGAGAAAAAACUGAAAAAAGCAGCCAAAAGGAGGCAGAGGGAGAAAUUGUUAAGAGCAGGAGGUAGAGGUGAAUGUUUGUCUUAUCGUUGUCCAGCAGACUGAGGUGCGACAGCGACAAUAACAACACUUUGUGUCACAGACGAAAACAGGAUCUUCAUGCCAGGGUGCUGGAGGUAAAGUCGGUGCAGGUCGUCCUCCAUGUUGACCAACUUCAUGCUGAUGACCUCCCGCAUGCUGCUGCCGCCACAGUGGAUGAUGAGGACAUCUGAUGGUGCACCUCUUUGCAGGGAGGGGAAAAGAAGGGGAGAAGCCAACCAGACCAAGAGACAUCUGGCAGGGUGAAGAUGCUUCCUAAGCUCUCUGGGAACCAUGCUGGACACAAGCUGUCACCAAUGAUCCACACUGCAACUAUGGGUAUAUGUGAUGGCCUAAACCACACAGGUUAACAGCCAGCAAUGGUAAUACCGCACACAAGCUAUGUUUUAAGUACACAAGUUAAGUUAUUUUUGCAGUUGGCCACACCCAAAUAAUUCAUGAUUUCAAAACACAGACCACAUAGUUUAUUUCAGGUAAAAUAUACAUUUAUUUGCUUUAGCCAUACACUGUUUAAAUGGAGUGCACACAUUUUCAUAUUGUAGGGUUAUAUAAACAUUUUCUGUUCUAUUAAUCAUUGUUUCUUUGUUACCAUGUUGGAGAGAGGUCUGUCCUGGAGGAAGAAAGGCAUGGCCAAGGGUGGAGGACUGUUUUAUCCAGUGGCCUGCCAAUCAAGCCGUACCAUGGGCUGCCAUGUUGGAGGGGGAUUUUGGGUUUAGUUUGUUUUACUUUGUUGUCCAUUUUGUUUUCCCCUUAUGUGUAAAUUGGUAUGGCCAAGACACUAUAUAUGUUCCCUUGUGUCUCAUUCAUUUAGGUCAGUUUGUUCAGUUCAUAUCCUGUUUUGUUGUAUGCUGUUUUGCGUAUAGUUCUAUUUUGUUGGCCUCUUUUAUAGGCCUAGAUGUUAAGCUUUUGGUUUCUAUUCAACUUUUGGGGGGUAAAUAAAAAAAACAAACCCUGUUUUUGAAGAAA
Long non-coding RNA from Micropterus salmoides (largemouth bass), 2329 nucleotides. RefSeq lists it as uncharacterized. The transcript is spliced from 2 exons. Lineage: Eukaryota; Metazoa; Chordata; Actinopteri; Centrarchiformes; Centrarchidae. The record is from RefSeq and is a predicted model, not a curated record.